RNAcentral lists this ribosomal RNA (885 nucleotides) under uncultured bacterium. RNAcentral describes it as "bacterial SSU rRNA". It matches the Rfam family "Bacterial small subunit ribosomal RNA", at positions 8 to 916 of the family's 1533-position model. The record is from RNAcentral.
AGAGUUUGAUCCUGGCUCAGGACGAACGCUGGCGGCGUGCCUAACACAUGCAAGUCGAGCGAGGAACUUCGGUUCCUAGCGGCGGACGGGUGAGUAACACGUGGGUAACCUGCCUUAUAGAGGGGGAUAGCCUUCCGAAAGGAAGAUUAAUACCGCAUAAAGUCUGAUUUUCGCAUGGGAAUUGGACCAAAGGAGCAAUCCGCUAUAAGAUGGACCCGCGGCGCAUUAGCUAGUUGGUGAGGUAACGGCUCACCAAGGCGACGAUGCGUAGCCGACCUGAGAGGGUGAUCGGCCACAUUGGAACUGAGAUACGGUCCAGACUCCUACGGGAGGCAGCAGUGGGGAAUAUUGCACAAUGGGCGAAAGCCUGAUGCAGCAACGCCGCGUGAGUGAUGAAGGCCUUCGGGUUGUAAAGCUCUGUCUUUUGGGACGAUAAUGACGGUACCAAAGGAGGAAGCCACGGCUAACUACGUGCCAGCAGCCGCGGUAAUACGUAGGUGGCAAGCGUUGUCCGGAUUUACUGGGCGUAAAGAAUGCGUAGGCGGAUAUUUAAGUGGGAUGUGAAAUACCCGGGCUCAACUUGGGUGCUGCAUUCCAAACUGGAUAUCUAGAGUGCGGGAGAGGAGAGUGGAAUUCCUAGUGUAGCGGUGAAAUGCGUAGAGAUUAGGAAGAACACCAGUGGCGAAGGCGACUCUCUGGACCGUAACUGACGCUGAGGCAUGAAAGCGUGGGGAGCAAACAGGAUUAGAUACCCUGGUAGUCCACGCCGUAAACGAUGGGUACUAGGUGUAGGAGGUAUCGACUCCUUCUGUGCCGCAGUUAACACAAUAAGUACCCCGCCUGGGGAGUACGGUCGCAAGAUUAAAAACUCAAAUGAAUUGACGG